GAUGAACGCUGGCGGCGUGCCUAAUACAUGCAAGUCGAGCGAACAGGCGAGGAGCUUGCUCCUUUGACGUUAGCGGCGGACGGGUGAGUAACACGUGGGUAACCUACCUAUAAGACUGGGAUAACUUCGGGAAACCGGAGCUAAUACCGGAUAAUAUUUCGAACCGCAUGGUUCGAUAGUGAAAGAUGGCUCUGCUAUCACUUAUAGAUGGACCUGCGCCGUAUUAGCUAGUUGGUAAGGUAACGGCUUACCAAGGCAACGAUACGUAGCCGACCUGAGAGGGUGAUCGGCGACACUGGAAGUGAGAAACGGUCCAGACUCCUACGGGAGGCAGCAGUAGGGAAUCUUCCGCAAUGGGCGAAAGCCUGACGGAGCAACGCCGCGUGAGUGAUGAAGGUCUUCGGAUCGUAAAACUCUGUUAUUAGGGAAGAACAAACGUGUAAGUAACUGUGCACGUCUUGACGGUACCUAAUCAGAAAGCCACGGCUAACUACGUG
Molecule: ribosomal RNA, 497 nt
Filed under: uncultured bacterium
Lineage: Bacteria
Description: partial 16S ribosomal RNA
Rfam family: Bacterial small subunit ribosomal RNA
Source: RNAcentral